GGCGGAGUGGCCGAGAAGGUGGUGGAUUGUAGCUCCAAGUACAGGGGUUAAUUCCCCUCUUCGUC
RNAcentral lists this transfer RNA (65 nucleotides) under Synapturanus sp. MNHN-RA-2020.0087. Its description in RNAcentral is "tRNA-Tyr". It matches the Rfam family "tRNA". Rfam says of the family: Transfer RNA (tRNA) molecules are approximately 80 nucleotides in length. Their secondary structure includes four short double-helical elements and three loops (D, anti-codon, and T loops). The record is from RNAcentral. Lineage: Eukaryota; Metazoa; Chordata; Amphibia; Anura; Microhylidae.